Electrophorus electricus (electric eel) is the source of this 1156-nucleotide long non-coding RNA. RefSeq lists it as uncharacterized. Lineage: Eukaryota; Metazoa; Chordata; Actinopteri; Gymnotiformes; Gymnotidae. The record is from RefSeq and is a predicted model, not a curated record.
CUGGACGCAAAUUGAAGGAGAGAGCCAUUCUGAGAAUGAAUGCAUGGCAACAGAAAGAUGCGCGGUCAUCUUCCAUACGAAUGAGAGCGCUGGUUCAUUCAUAUGACCCAUCCCAUCUUUCAAAGAGGAUGAAAAACUGUCAACAGCAAUUUAGUUCCACAUCCACAAACAGGCAAAGCAUCAAAGCUUUAAAGGUGCCAAAAGAGAGAAAAGUCGCUGUAUUGUGGGGUGGGAUGCCCUUCCCAGCUGGGUGUCCCAGUGUGUAGGGACAAGGACUACCUGCAAGCUAGAGCAGCCUUGUCUGAUCCCUCUCUUCAGGACAGAGCUCUACUCCAUUCUGCCUCUCCUCUGCUUGUGUCUGCUUACAUUCUGUCAGCUGACAGACCCCAUCAUGCUGCUCACCUUGUGCUGGGGAGCAUGCGUGGAUGUCCUGCGAUUCAUCAGCUCUGGACUCUGUCCUGCCUGUGAACUGUGCUGCAUGGCACCAUGCUGAGUGCAGGGAGCAAAGCAUGGCGCAGACCUUAAAAGGAGCAACGCUUGUGAGCCCCCCAGGUGUUUUAAUAUCCUGAAGAAGCCCAUGACCUCCAGAGAGCUCAGUCUGCUGCACCGUCACCUCCAGCCACACAUUCCAUGCGCUUGCCACCUGCAGAACAUACUAAACAGUUCAUGAAGUGGAAGUGGGGGUGGAGGAGACCAAAUAAAAUGGGGAGGCCUUUCUGUGGAGACAUCCGUGUAUUGGCAUGAAUGGAGACAGAAACAGAGGCGUGAACAUAAGAGUCCUUAAUCAUUCCCAUUCACUUUGUGAGUCUAACAGUCAGUCAUGGGGACUGUGCUGUGUGCAGAGCAGGACUGAGGACUAGACUGUCUGAGGAGUGGAUUGUCUGGCCAUGUUCACUUCCUUCUUCAUUCCUGUUUCAUUGUACUUUCAUAUUUUAUUACUCUCAACCUUGAUAAAAAUUUCAAACUGGUUUUCACUUUCUUGCUACUAUAAACAUGUGGUUGCCUGUACAUUAAUGUGCGUGUGUAUGUUUGUGUGUGAAGGAGUAUAAAACAAAAUGUACUCAUUGUCUCCAAAUCUACUCGCAUUUCAACAUCAUGUAUGCUUACAAAACUGGGCUCCAAUUACCAUACUUCCAAUAAAAUUGACCCAAUAACA